This is an RNA transcript of Quercus lobata, 3698 nucleotides long. It is a transcript of the gene named nuclear intron maturase 3, mitochondrial-like, with no coding region annotated. The record is from RefSeq and is a predicted model, not a curated record. Lineage: Eukaryota; Viridiplantae; Streptophyta; Magnoliopsida; Fagales; Fagaceae. The transcript has 4 exons.
UGGAGGUUCCAAAGUCCAAAGUGGAGGUUCCAAAGUCCAAACUUCCACUUUUCUUCUCGUUGUCUCAAUGAUUAUACACCUCAGAAGAAUAAACCCACUUGAAUUCAGGUCUCCAAAUCGCUCCCCUCUCAGACUAUUCUCAACUCUCUUACAAAACCCAUCUCCACCCCCUAAAACCCAAACCCAAAACCCCACAGAAACGCUCACAAAACCCCAACUCAAAGCAUUAGUUCUCACUCAAUACUCACAUGGCAAAUUCUCCAAUCUUGUCUCAAAUGUCCUUGCUUUGCCCAAUGUCCUCCUCACUGCCUGCCAAAACCUCACCACCUCACAAUCCAACAAUGCCCUCAACUCCCUUGACUCGCAGUCUCUUCUCAACUCGGUCUCGAGGCGGUUUGAUAUCGAAGAAAUGGGCCGCCAGCUAUGUGAGAAUCGGUUUGAUAUUGAAGCUUGUUGUGUCACAAUGAUGCCCUCAAGAAUGAAAGGUGAGUCCUUGGUCUUGCCCAACUUGAAAUUAAAGGUUUUGAUUGAAGCUAUUAGGAUGGUAUUGGAAAUUGUGUAUGAUGAACGGUUUGUAACUUUUUCUUAUGGUGGGCGUGUCGGUAUGGGACGCCACACAGCCAUUAGGUACCUUAAGAACUCGGUAGAGAAUCCUAGUUGGUGGUUUAGUGUCACAUUUGAUAGAGAAAGGUUUGAUGAUAGGCAUGUGAAUAAGUUGUGUUUGUUUAUUGAAGAGAAAAUAAAAGAUGAUUUUUUGAUUGGUUUAAUAAAGAGGUUGUUUGAGUGUGAGGUGGUGGGAAUUGAAUUGGGUGGUUGUUACUUAGGAAGGGGGUUUCCUCAAGAAAGCGGGUUGUGUUCGAUCUUGAUUAAUAUUUACUUUAAUGGAUUUGAUAAAGAAAUUCAAGAUAUGCGUCUUCAGAAAAAUCAGGAGAAUCCAAAGUUUAAAUCAGAGCAGCUUGUUUGGAUGUCUGGCCUAUUUUAUAAGCCAGUGAAGAUGUACGUGGUCAGGUAUUUGGAUGAAAUAUUAGUGAUAACGUCGGGGUCUAAGAUGUUGACCAUGGACUUUAAGAAUUGGGUUUUGAAAUAUUUAGAAGGUAGGUUGGAUUUGAGGGUGGAUAAAAUGAAGACGGCAAUUCAUAGUGCAGUAUCUGAGAAUAUUAGUUUUCUAGGUAUGGAACUACAGGCAGUUCCACCUUCAGUUUUGCAUCCUCCCAUGAGUGAGAAAGCAAUUAGGGCACGGAAGAAGUACCUUAGGCAGAAGGAAGUUAGAGCUUUAGAAUUUAAAAAUGCCAGAGAGAGGAAAAGAAAGAUACUGGGGAUGAAGAUAUUGCAGCAUGUUUUUAAGAAGUUGAAGCAAAGUGAUGGGUUUAAAUUUGACUUUCAAAUUGAAAAUGAGGUUCGAGAAAUCUUCAGAACUUGGACUGAUGAAGUGGUCCAUGAUUUCUUGGGUUCCUUGGAAGAGCGUUGGGAAUGGCAUCGGAUGCUUACAGCAGGCGAUUUUCUCUCUUUAAGGCACAUUAGAGGUCAAUUGCCCCAAGAGCUGGUUGAUGCGUAUGAUAAGUUCCAAGAGCAAGUUGACAAGUAUUUGAGUCCGGUCCAAGCUAGAAAGGCAUUAGAGAAAGAAGAAAAGAGAGUGGAGGAGGAAGAGGAACAGAAAUACGCUAAGAGCACGGUUGAGGAUUUGACAAGGCUGUGUAUGAAAGUUGAUGCACCAGUAGAACUUGUUAGGAAGGCAGUUAAGAUGGCUGGUUUUACAAAUAACAUGGGUCGCCCUAGGCCGAUCAAGUUACUCAUUGCUCUUGAAGAUAUUGAUAUUAUCAAGUGGUAUGCAGGAGUAGGGAGAAGGUGGCUUGAUUUCUUCUGUUGCUGUCACAACUUCAAGAUGGUUAAAACUGUAGUAACUUAUCACUUGAGGUUCUCUUGCAUUUUGACACUAGCAGAGAAGCAUGAGUCAACCAAACGUGAAGCCAUUAAGCAUUACACUAAAGAUUUGAAGGUCUCUGAUUUUAAUGGAAAUGAAGAAGUGUACUUCCCCACAGAAAGAGAGGUUAAAAUGAUGGGAGAUCAAAAUCUUUUGGAUCCAAGGCCUGUUGAUGGGGCUUUAUCUUUGGCUUUGAUCAGUUUUCUACAUAAUUGGCAUUGGUUCUGGUGGCUGCUAUUGAUGUGAACCUUGUUCUAGAAAUUCUUAUGUAUUUCUUUUCUGAAAUGAGGCCAGGCAGCAUUGUGACUGUCAUGCUCACCACACCAGCUGUUUGAUCCUUAAUUUGUAGUUUGAUUCUUAAUUUGUAGUUUGAUUCAUACAAACCCCACAGAAACCCUCACAAAACCCCAACUCAAAGCCGUAGUUCUUACUCUAUACUCACAUGUCACAUUCUCCAAUCUUGUCUCAAAUGUCCUUGCUUUGCCCAAUGUGCUCCUCACUGCCUGCCAAAACAUCACAACUCCACAACCCAACAAUGGCCUCAGCUCCCUUGACUCACAGUCCCUUCUACACUCGGUCUCGAGGCGGUUUGAUAUUGAAGAAAUGGGCUGCUAGCUCUGCGAGAAUCGGUUCGAUAUUGAAGCUUGUUUUUUCACAAUGAUGCCCUCAAGAAUGAAAGUUGAGUCCUUGGUCUUGCCCAACUUGAAAUUAAAGGUUUUGAUUGAAGCUAUUAGGAUGGUGUUGGAAAUUGUGUAUGAUGAACGGUUUGUUAAUUUUUAUUAUGGUGAGCGUGUCGGUAUGGGACGCCACACCGCCAUUAGGUACCUUAAGAACUCAGUAGAGAAUCCUAGUUGGUGGUUUAGUGUCACAUUUGAUUGAAAUUUUUUUGAUAAUAGGCAUGUAAAUAAGCUGUGUUUGUUUAUUGAAGAGAAAAUAAAGGAUGGUUUCUUUGUCGGUAUUACAAAGAGGUUGGUUUGAGUGUGAGGUGGUGGGAAUUGAAUUGGGUGGUUGUUACUUAGGAAGGGGGUUUCCUCAUGAAAGCGGGUUGUUUUCGAUUUUGAUUAAUAUUUACUUUAAUGGGUUUGAUAAAUAAAUUCAAGAUAUGCGUCUUCAGAAAAAUCAGGAGAAUACAAAGUUUGAAUCAGAGGAGCUUAUUUCGGUGUCUCAGUGAAGAUGUAUGUGGUCAGGUAUUUGGAUGAAAUAUUAGUGAUCACUUCAGGUUCAAAGAUGUUUAGUUCAAAGAUGUUGACCAUGGAUUUGAAGCAUUGGGUUUUAAAAUAUUUAGAAGGGGGGUUGGAGUUGAAGGUGGAUAGAAUGAAGAAAUUGACUACACUUUGUUUGCAGAUGUGGACUGAAUGUUGCUUGUUCUGCUGCAGUUUCCUAUGUAAUUGGCUUUGGUUCUAGAGGCUGCUGAUGUUCUGAAACCUUAUUCAAGAAAUUCUUGUGUAUUUCAUUUCUGAAAUGAAACCAGGUACAUGUUGAGAGCUGUUCUCAAGUACUGUAGGGCUGAAAAAUGAGCCAAGCUGCUCGCAAGCAGCUCGAUCAAAGUUUGCUUGGCCUGUUUGUUAAGCAAGAUGAUCUGAGCUUGAACUAUGUUCUGAGCUUAAGCAUCAUUAUGCUCAGCUUGUCAGCCCAUGAUCUGGCUUGAUAGAGUGUCUCCAUCAUAGAUCUGAUCUGAGGGAAUAUUCUUCUCAAACUGAUCUGAGUAUUUCAUUUUGGGAAUUAACCACAGACAGCACAUUCUUCUUAAUUUAUCUGUUUUUUAAUCUGUGGGAUU